CUAGACGAAAGUCUGACGGUUCACGCCGCGUGAGUGAUGAAGGUCUUCGGAUCGUAAAACUCUGUUGUUAGGGAAGAACAAGUGCCAUAGUAACUGAUGGUGCCUUGACGGUACCUAACCAGAAAGCCACGGCUAACUACGUGCCAGCAGCCGCGGUAAUACGUAGGUGGCAAGCGUUGUCCGGAAUUAUUGGGCGUAAAGCGCUCGCAGGCGGUUCUUUAAGUCUGAUGUGAAAUCUUACGGCUCAACCGUAAACGUGCAUUGGAAACUGGGGAACUUGAGUGCAGAAGAGGAGAGUGGAAUUCCACGUGUAGCGGUGAAAUGCGUAGAGAUGUGGAGGAACACCAGUGGCGAAGGCGACUCUCUGGUCUGUAACUGACGCUGAGGAGCGAAAGCGUGGGGAGCGAACAGGAUUAGAUACCCUGGUAGUCCACGCCGUAAACGAUGAGUGCUAGGUGUCAGGGGGUUUCCGACCCUUAGUGCUGAAGUUAACGCAUUCAGCACUCCG
Molecule: ribosomal RNA, 508 nt
Filed under: uncultured bacterium
Lineage: Bacteria
Description: bacterial SSU rRNA
Rfam family: Bacterial small subunit ribosomal RNA
Source: RNAcentral